CACGCUGGCGGCAUGCCUUACACAUGCAAGUCGAACGGCAGCACGGGAGCAAUCCUGGUGGCGAGUGGCGAACGGGUGAGUAAUAUAUCGGAACGUGCCCAGUCGUGGGGGAUAACGCAGCGAAAGCUGUGCUAAUACCGCAUACGAUCUCUGGAUGAAAGCGGGGGACUCGUAAGAGCCUCGCGCGAUUGGAGCGGCCGAUAUCAGAUUAGCUAGUUGGUGGGGUAAAGGCCCACCAAGGCGACGAUCUGUAGCUGGUCUGAGAGGACGACCAGCCACACUGGAACUGAGACACGGUCCAGACUCCUACGGGAGGCAGCAGUGGGGAAUUUUGGACAAUGGGCGCACGCCUGAUCCAGCAAUGCCGCGUGCAGGAUGAAGGCCUUCGGGUUGUAAACUGCUUUUGUACGGAACGAAAAGGUCUGCCUUAAUACGGUGGGCCCAUGACGGUACCGUAAGAAUAAGCACCGGCUAACUACGUGCCAGCAGCCGCGGUAAUACGUAGGGUGCGAGCGUUAAUCGGAAUUACUGGGCGUAAAGCGUGCGCAGGCGGUUAUAUAAGACAGAUGUGAAAUCCCCGGGCUCAACCUGCGACCUGCAUUUGUGACUGUAUAGCUAGAGUACGGU
This 627-nucleotide ribosomal RNA is filed under the name uncultured bacterium. RNAcentral's name for it is "bacterial SSU rRNA". It matches the Rfam family "Bacterial small subunit ribosomal RNA", at positions 32 to 652 of the family's 1533-position model. The record is from RNAcentral.